Molecule: ribosomal RNA, 253 nt
Filed under: uncultured bacterium
Lineage: Bacteria
Description: partial 16S ribosomal RNA
Rfam family: Bacterial small subunit ribosomal RNA
Source: RNAcentral
UACGUAGGGUGCAAGCGUUGUCCGGAAUUACUGGGCGUAAAGGGCGCGUAGGCGGCGCAACAAGUCACUUGUGAAAUCUCCGGGCUUAACCCGGAGCGGCCAAGUGAUACUGUCGUGCUAGAGUGCGGAAGGGGCUACUGGAAUUCUCGGUGUAGCGGUGAAAUGCGUAGAUAUCGAGAGGAACACCUGCGGCGAAGGCGGGUAGCUGGGCCGACACUGACGCUGAGGCGCGAAAGCCAGGGGAGCGAACGGG